CUAUAGAGACUGCCGGUGUCAAACCGGAGGAAGGUGGGGAUGACGUCAAGUCCUCAUGGCCUUUAUGACCAGGGCUACACACGUACUACAAUGGCCGGUACAAAGGGCAGCCACUUAGCGAUAAGGAGCCAAUCCCGUAAAGCCGGUCUCAGUCCGGAUUGGAGUCUGCAACUCGACUCCAUGAAGUUGGAAUCGCUAGUAAUCGCAGAUCAGCACGCUGCGGUGAAUACGUUCCCGGGCCUU
Molecule: ribosomal RNA, 243 nt
Filed under: uncultured Desulfocapsa sp.
Lineage: Bacteria; Pseudomonadati; Thermodesulfobacteriota; Desulfobulbia; Desulfobulbales; Desulfocapsaceae
Description: partial 16S ribosomal RNA
Rfam family: Bacterial small subunit ribosomal RNA
Source: RNAcentral